Molecule: ribosomal RNA, 253 nt
Filed under: uncultured bacterium
Lineage: Bacteria
Description: partial 16S ribosomal RNA
Rfam family: Bacterial small subunit ribosomal RNA
Source: RNAcentral
UACGUAGGGACCUAGCGUUGUCCGGAAUCAUUGGGCGUAAAGCGCGCGUAGGCGGCCCGGUAAGUCCGUUGUAAAAGUCGAAGGCUCAACCUUCGAAAGCCGAUGGAUACUGCCGGACUAGAGUACGGAAGAGGCGAGUAGAAUUCCUGGUGUAGCGGUGGAAUGCGCAGAUAUCAGGAGGAAUACCCAUAGCGAAGGCAGCUCGCUGGGACGUUACUGACGCUGAGGCGCGAAAGCGUGGGGAGCGAACAGG